AACAUCGCGCACCUGCGGGAACCUGCGGAGGGAUCAUUACCGAGUUUACAACUCCCAAACCCCUGUGAACAUACCAAUUGUUGCCUCGGCGGAUCAGCCCGCUCCCGGUAAAACGGGACGGCCCGCCAGAGGACCCCUAAACUCUGUUUCUAUAUGUAACUUCUGAGUAAAACCAUAAAUAAAUCAAAACUUUUAGCAACGGAUCU
RNAcentral lists this unclassified non-coding RNA (206 nucleotides) under soil metagenome. RNAcentral's name for it is "partial contains 5.8S ribosomal RNA, internal transcribed spacer 2, and large subunit ribosomal RNA". The record is from RNAcentral.